This 97-nucleotide non-coding RNA is filed under the name uncultured Faecalimonas sp. RNAcentral describes it as "THF riboswitch". It matches the Rfam family "THF (Tetrahydrofolate) riboswitch aptamer". From Rfam's summary of the family: THF riboswitch presents a pseudoknot that joins P1-P2 and the loop of P3 and two THF binding. Lineage: Bacteria; Bacillati; Bacillota; Clostridia; Lachnospirales; Lachnospiraceae. The record is from RNAcentral.
GCAGAGUAAGAAUGUAUGCGUUAAGUGCUGAUCGGACGGGGAGUUGUCGGUCGGACGAAGAGCGAAGGCUUGCGGUGUACGUUCUGCAUCCCGCUGU